AUAGUUUGGAUUUAUGAAUUUAUGAUAUUGUUUUCCAAGAAAAUUCCUAGUGAAUGUCAAAGAACUUCUCAAAUUGAUACUGUAUUGAUAAUUGGUAGGUACAAAAUGAAAGUAGACUCGAAACAUCAAGUAGCAACUGAAACGGUGAUAUACAUUUUUCUAUAUUUUACCAGGUAAGCUGCAAUAGCUAUCAAUAAAUAAUUUGCUUUUAAUUUCAUUUCAAAUAUUGAAAAAUAAGUUCUCUGGUCCAUGUAUUUUAGUUACCUUAUUUAUUCAUAAAUCUUAUAAUUUAGUAAAAACAAUGCUGCGCUUCAUAGAGUAAAUAACAUUUCAGAAAUAGUUACGAGGAUAUUAGUCUAAAUGUAUUCAUGACAAAGCUUAUUUAAUGAAUUGUUAUUGAAAUACUACAUCAUCUCCCCCGUUAUGAAUGCUAAUUGAAUGGCAAGUUAUUGUUUAGAUAUUAAGUCUCAGAUAAUUAGAUUUAACAUGUCAAGUAUUACACUCUAGAAUUUUCUAUCAAAUCUCCUCUUUGUAACUCGAUAUCGAUGUUUUAAUGUACAAUUGAAGUCUAGUGUUACAUCUGACAUACACCUAGGUUUGACAAUUUUACCUGUUAUGUCUGUUUGUAUCGAUUACACAUCAUUGUCAAAAUAAUCGAAUUUGAUGCGACUGUCAUACAAGUGAGUGGUUAAUUUAGUUAUGAAGCAAGGUUUAUUCCACCAAUUUCUACAAAAAACAUCAUUUUACCAAGUCAAGAACAUGACAGUUGUUAACAAUUAAUGUGAUUUGUUUGAACUUUUGAUUUUGCCUUUGAUUAGGGACUUUCCGUUUUGAAUUUUCCUCGCAGUUCAGUAUUUUUGUGAUUUAACUUUAUACAUCAUAUACAUCACUACGCAAAGAGUUAUUCAUUUCAAUUGCUCAGAUAGAUUAAGAUAUAAGACAAAGUUCUGAUAUCCUGUAUUGAAACAAGGUUUAUCAUUUCUACAUCUACAUCUACAUCAUACGACGAUCCAUCAUUACAUUAAUGACUAUACGUCGGCGCAUCGCAAACAGACACUUAAUAAAAUAUAAUAACUAAUUUUGUGCAAUAAUUCCAAAAAAAAAUUUUGUGCAAAAACAAAACAAAAAUUAACACAUUUACAUUAUUUACAAACAGGUUAGAUAUCUAAAUAUACUGACUCUGGAUCAGUAUUUUAAACUGAUCCAGGGAGUUAACACUGAUGACGUUUUGUGGGAGUGAGUUCCACAGUACAACUGUGAAUGGAAAAAAGCUGUACUUGAAGUAGUCUGUUGUGCUAAAUGUUUGGUAUUGUAAUGAAUUAGUGAAUCUGUGUUUUUGACUGGCUGUGGUAAAAGGUAAAGGUUUGGUCUACUGCAAUGAGAUGUGUGAGAUUUGUAAAGCAUAGUGACUCGAUUGAUGUUUCUGCGAGUUUCAAGUGACUUCCAUUGAAGAUGGUCAAUCAUGGAAGUGACACUACUGGUGUUGUGGUAUACAAGUAUCUUGUCUUAGGGAGGGAUAAAUCCUACUUUGUAAAGAAUCACUCUGAUUCAAACAAAAAAUUCUCUGAAACUGAUAUUAUCAAGAUGCUUGAUUCUUGAUUGACAAACAUAUUGUUACGUUCGAGGACGUGUUUUCAACAGACUGUCGGCUUCCAAUGGGAACAAACUGUGCCCCUCUACUCGCCGACUUGUUUCUUUAUUAUUAUGAGGCUACUUCAUGCAGGAACUUCUUAGAAGAAAGAUAAGAAGUAGCAAAUAUCUUUAACUCUACUUUCCGCUAUUAUAGAUGAGUUCUUCACUAAACAUUCAAAAUUUGGUGACUAUGUGGAAGCAUCUAUCCAUCGAACUAGAGAUAAAGAUACUACAGAUACAGUUAAGUCGGCUUCAUAUCUUGACUUACAUCUAGAAAUUGACAAUGAGGGUCGGUUGAAAACAAACUUACGACAAAAGAAUGAUUUCAGCUUUCCAAUUGUGAACUUUCCAUUCUAAGUACAAAUUCCAGCAGCACCUGCAUACGGGGUAUAUAUUCCAUUGAUACGAUAUUCCCUGUGCAUGCAUUUCUAAUCUGAUUUUUCUUGAUAGAGGUUUGCUGCUCACAAGGAAGCUAUUAAAACCAAGAGUUCCAAUGUGAGUUGAAAUCAUCCCCUUCGUUUUACGGACGCCAUCACGAGUUGGUUGACCGUUAUGGAAUACGUUUCACAUGAUAUCGGAUAUGUUCCUUACUCGUAACUACAAUCCCCUUCCCUUUCAUGAUAUGAUACCUACCCGAAUUAGACUUUUACCGGAUUUGUAAUCACUUAAGAAACACGAGGGGUGCCACAUGUGGAGGGAUUGCUUACCCUCCGGAGCACCUAGAUCACCCUACUUUGUGGGGGUUCGUGUUGUUUAUUCUUUUUUCUAUGUUGUGUCGUGUGUACUAUUGUUUUUCGGUUUGUCUUUUUUAUUUUUAGCCAUGGCGUUGUCAGUUUGUUUUAGAUUUAUGAGUUGACUGUCCCUUUGGUUUUUCGUCCUCUUUUGGUGACAUAGCGUGCUGCCCUUCUUUGUACUUUUUCAAUGUUGUUUUUUUGUUUUUGGGUGUGAGGUGACAAACUGAAGAGCAGUAUUUCUAAAUUUGAACGUACCAUGGAUUUGUAUGCCAAACUUUUAGUUUCUUCCUGAUUUAUUUUUAAGUUUUCUUUUUAGAAAGCCUAAGAUCUUAUUUGCUUUUGCAGAAUUAUUUAUAUGUGUAUCCCAAGACAUGUUGUGAGAAAGGGUGAUACCGAGAUAUUUUGCAGUGCUGACGGAUUCUAACAUGUGGCCUACUAAUACAUAGUCAUGUUUGAAUAGUGACUGUGAUCUUGUCACAGUGAGAGAGUUGCAUUUUUCUGGAUGGAAUUGCAUACCCCAAGUUUGUUCCCAAUUGGCUAGGCAGUUUAGAUCAUUUUGUAGUAUGGUACAAUCUUGUUGAUUUGUUAUGUUUCUGUAUAAGAUACAAUCAUCUGCAAACAAGCGUGUUUUUUGAUGUUACUGCUGCAGGUAGGUCAUUAAUGAAGAUGAGAAAAAGUAGUGGACCCAAAACUGAGCCUUGGGCACCACCCACUUACCACAGGCAUUUGACUAGAUACCUCUCCGUCAAGGGCAACCUGUUGCGUUCUGUUACUAAGGAAGGCUGAUACCCAAUUCCAGGUAUUUCCCCUUAUGCCAUAAUUAUCCAUCUUCCUUAAUAACUUUUUUGUGAGGUACCUUGUCAAAUGCCUUGGAAAAGUCUAAAAUAAUAAGAUCAAUUUGUACACCAUUAUGGAGGUUACUAAGUAGUUCAUGACUUAAAGUAAGUAGCUGUGUUUCACAGCUGCGUUUAGAUCUGAAGCCAUGCUGAUUAUCCACAAGGAUGUUAUGUGUGUCCAGAUGUUUUAGUAUGUUACUUACAACAAUGUGUUCGAGCAGUUUGCAGCAAAUGCAGGUUAGGGAGACAGGUCUGUAAUUGCUGGCUAGGUAUUUUUCGCCUUUUUUAAAAAUAGGGAUCACAUUUGCCUGUCUCCAGUCUGUUGGUACAUCUCCUUUCAAGAAAGAUGUGUUAAAAAUGGAAGCGAGAUGUGGUGCAAAUUCUGGUGCAAAUUGUUUAAGAAUUCGUGCUGGUAUUUCGUCUGGACCUGUAGCUUUAGAUGGAUCAAGAUUUUUCAAAAGUUUUUCUAUGCCAUUUGGUGUUACAUGUAUUUCUGCCAUAGAUGGAUAGUUGUCGGAUAGAGUUGGUAUUUGUUCUUUAUCAUUUUCAGGUGUAAAAACAGAGUGGUAUUGUUUAUUGAGUAUUUCAGCUUUUUGUUUUGUGUCGUCUAUCAGCAUACCUUCAGAUCUUAAUGGUGCAACUCCUGAACUGUCUUUUUUGGUGGACCUGAUAUAAUUCCAAAUUUUUUUCUGUUUUUGCGAGGUUUGUAAGCUUUCGUCGUAACAAAUGAUGUUUUCCAGAUAAGUCCAGUAAGCUUUUCUUGUCUCUUUCUGAAGCAGUUUUUUUUGUUUCCCUGUACUGUUUAUUUUUUUUACUAUGCGAGUCUGUUUUCAUUUUUUUGAACAAUUUGUUCCUUUUUCUAAUCAGUGACUUUAUUUCUUUAUUAAUCCAUGGUAGUUUUUGUUUGGUGUUAUUAAUCAUUUUAGUUUCAUGUGCUCAAACAUGAUUAAAUAGACAACGGACUAUUGUUGAAAAAUGUAUAUUGCCCAUUACGUGUCAUAUUGGUUUGUGUUUUAUAUCGUAUCUUUUUAAUCAUAUGAUGCUGCCAUAUGCUGAUAUCAUAUUCUAAAUGGCAGAAUUUCGAAAUUGAAGCUGUUUCUUAAACUUAAAUCUGACGUCAAAUUUAGGCACGAAUUGAGGACUUCGUGUAGUUCAUAACAAACAAGGACAGAUGCAUUAUUCGUUAAUCUCUGUAGCAUUUGCAAAUGGUUUUUUUUUCAAAGGUUGAUGAAAUAUGCAUGGUCAUCUUGUAUAAAGUUAUUUUAAUUGAAUUACUAUUAAAAGUGUAUUUUCAAUUAUAAGAUGUUCCGAUCAUAUUCACUUUUUGGGGAAAUGAUACGGGGAGUAACUUUUUUUGGUUUUAUUGAUAAAUACGAUAAUGAAAGUAGAUUUUCUGAAAUUCACAGAAAUAUUGAUGUGACAUUAAUUGAAUUUUUUUAAAAGUGACGUGGACAUUUUCCACUGCAUCUGAACAGGUUAGCUAGGAUAAGGAUUAAAAGCAAGUGUCAUUUAAAUGAUACAGUCAUAAAACAGAUAGUGAAGGCAAAUUUCUUUUAUCUUACUAGCUAAGAAUUUUGAGUAAAAGCACAUAAUCGUCCCUUUUUUCAACAAUAUGGUAGAGUUUUUGACUUUUUCACAUUUCCUUGAUUUUCUUCAACUAGAUUCCAAGACUUAAAUAUUAAAUCUAUCUAUCUUAAGGUGGCUAGGGUGUCUUAAUUAAAAUUGAUAGAAUUUUUUGAAAGCUUGUCAAAAUGAUGUUUUAUCGUGCUUGUUUUCAAAAUUAUAUUAAAAAGUAUGGGUCACCGGACUUUUUUUAACGCUACAGGUUGUGCAAAAAAGUCAGAUUUUGUACAGAUUAUGCAUGGAAAAUCAAAUUUUGUGUAAUGAAAAGAAAGCGUACUGUUAGAACUCUAAGAUAAAAUGUGAGAAGAUUGCUCGUAUAACAUGCUUUCAGAUAAGAAAAAGAAAAAAGUGGGGUCACCGAACUUAUUUUUUUUGCUACAUAUCAAAACAGGUAAAUCCUUACACUUUCUAUUAUAAAAAUUACUUUAUCUAAGUUAUCUCCCUUUAUUUGGCAAAGUUAAAAAAUCUAAUCAAACACACACAAGGUGUUUUGGAGAAAUUACAGCUGUAAUUAUGAUAAAACACACAAUUUUAUAUAUUUAUUUCAAAAGUCUUUUACAUAAACUACAUACAACUCUCAAAAUUGGCACAUUUCAUUAAAUAUCUAGACCAAAGUUAUAUGCUUCUUCAAAAUCCAAGAUGGAGGAAGACAACCGAGCCACCUUAAAUGUGUUUAUGGAUAUAUCUAUAUAAAUCUUUGAACUGAAGGAAUUAAUUUGUCUAAUUUUCAGGAGUACGGGUUGCUAAAAUUUAAUGCGUGGGUUGUUUGUUCUGUUGUUAGUAUAUCGUCUCAUACGUUAAAAAAUAGACAUAAACCAGUUUCUAGAAUUUUUUGUUGUACACGAAGUAUUUUGAUGGAAGCAUUUGAUAAAAAAUAGUUUAUCAUUUAUUUUUAAAUGUGGUUAAGUAUGAAGCUACGCAUUUUUGGAUCUCUUUGAAUUUUAUGUUAUUAACAUUUAUUGAUAAGCGGCUGUUCAAUGUUAAUUUCAUUGCAAGACAUGUAAGUUAUCUAAAUAAGCAAUACAGAUUUCAAAUUUCGAUUUGACUUUGUUUCAAAAUCAAUGAGAUUUGAUAAAAACGCCUGCUUUUACAGUAGUAUAAGUUUUAUGUGGUAUAUGUUAUCUGUAUAAGUAUAUAUAUAUAUAUAUAUAAUUUGAAACCAUAAUUUAUACUUAAAUUGCAAUACUGACUUGUUGAUAAAAUCAGUAUAUUAAUCAGUUUUGCUUUUUUUGCAGACCAAUGGAUUUCAAAGAAAUCGAACCAGAUGAAUUCCUCUCUUGUUUUAUCGAUCGCGUUGUGAAUCCGGAUGCCGAAUAUCUUACACAAUGUGGAAAGACUAUUGAUGAAGUAGCAAAGGUCUUGAAGUCUAGUGAAUUUGAUUAUAAAGUGAUGCGUACCAUCAAGGUAUAGUCUAAUAAUUUAGUUUUCUGUUGAAAUCUUCGUAGAAAAAAAUGUAAACCGAAUGUUUUCAUUAAUUAAAUUAUACUAAUGUCCCAGUUGUUUUUUGAAACAACUCAUCAAGAAAUGUUAUGCGUCGUUACAUGAUAAUUAAUCAUUGCAAUACUUUCAAUCAAGGACGAUAAAUAAAACUUAUCCUAAAUUGGAUUAAAAUAUCACAUCUGCAAUACAAUUUGUGAAUUAUAGAAAAAACUAAAAAGUUAGUUCACAUUUCUCAAAUAAAUAGUAUCCGGCAAGAUCAGUCCUACAAUCGGUGCUUUUAACAAGCAAUAUGUGGAUCUAACAAGCUCUUCUCGUUGGGAAAAGAACGCAUUUCAUAACAGAUUUAUUUUUAAAUAAAGUAUAUGUUACAGUUCUAUUACUAAAUAAGCUCAUCAUAGACACCAGGAUUAAAUUGUGCACCUACUCCAAAUGCGCGAUUCGUCUACAAAAGACUCAUCAGUGACGAUCGAAUCCAAAAAAGUUGAAAAAGCCAAAUAAUGUAUGAAGUUGAAGAGCACUGAGGAACAAAAAUUCGUAAAAGUUUUGCCAAUACAGCUAAGGUAAUAUAUUCCUGAGAUAGAAAAGCCUGAGUAUUUCAAAAGGUUGAAAAGUUUUGUAAACAGUUUUAUGUCUGUAGAUCAAUCAAGCUUGCGUUUUUGUAAUUUCCAGUUUUUUGCACAAUGUUCAUUUUAAUCUUUAAGGGAGGAUCCAUCGGGAAAGGAACUGCAGUUCGUGGGCUUUCAGAUGUGGAUCUUAUAUUUCCAUUAUCCGACAUCACCACUGUAGAAGCUCUUAAGCAGAAAAUGGACGGAAUCCAGGAUGCCAUUCACAGUCUUCU
RNAcentral lists this long non-coding RNA (7103 nucleotides) under Mytilus galloprovincialis (Mediterranean mussel). The record is from RNAcentral. Lineage: Eukaryota; Metazoa; Mollusca; Bivalvia; Mytilida; Mytilidae.